UAACAGGUUUCUGUUGUGAUAGAGAAUUUGAUCCCCAAUCAAGCUUUAUUUAUGUUGAUGAUGAGUGACUUAAGGCUUAUGGUCUACACAUUCUAUAUUGUUUAUUGUUUAUGUUAUGGAUGGCCUAUGGGAUGUAAUGUAGUGGAUAGAUGAAUGGAUUUGUGAGAAAGGCUGGAUGGUAUAUUCAUGUUUAUUUUUAGUUCAUGAAUUUGUUUAAAAGGGCUGUAUUAUUUUCUAUGGAUCAUAAUAUAUGUAGUCAUUAUAUUCAUGUUUAUUUUUUAUUGUUUAUGUUAUGGAUGACUAUGGAAUGUACGAUGGCCUGGGAUGUAAUGUUUACUGAGAAAGGGGCUGGAAACGGGUUUCGAAAAAAAAAAAAAAACCGCAGAUUUUACCCGACCUUAACAAGACCAGACCAGAGAAGUGUGAUAAUUUGUCACACUUCCUACAUUGAGAUUUUUUCAGUAUGUUUUUUGCUCAUAUUUUUGCUGCCCAUUAAGCUGCAACUUAUAACUGUAUAUAUACUCACUUACAUGAACGUAGAUAAUUUUUGUUGAUCUCUCAUGAAUGCUUUUCUCCAUCAAAUCAGCUCCCAGCUGCAGCUAGUUAUAAUGGUAAGAAAAUAAACUGACCCAAGUAAUCAAGUCAGCUCUUUUAUUAUUGCUCAUUUUAGUUGAUAGGAUGUCAACAGCAAAUUCUUCAUCUUCUCUUGGUAACCGUACUUUGGUGAACAACCCAAUAUGCACUUGUGGCCAACCCGCUUCACUUAGAACUUCAACUACGAUGACAAAUCCGGGACGAUCAUUCUUUGGGUGUCCAAAGUAUAAUAAACAGGGAUUACCACAUUGCAACUACUUCAAAUGGGCAGAUAUCAGUGAGGAAAUUGAAAUAGAACGUAUGAAGAUCGAAAUUCUGAGGUUAAGAAAUGAGCAAGAGCUUCGAAGAAGAGAGGAAGAGAUUUUGAAGAGGGAGUUGGAAGUCCACAAUGAUCGACUGGAUAUUCAAAAGCAACGAGCAGACAUCCGACAUGAACGCACACUUCUUCGUAGCUAUUGUGUGAUUUUAAUUUUAAUUGUAAUGUACUUCGUACGACCAUAGUGAAUACUGGUCUGAUAAUGGGUGAUUGAUAUACAUAUUAAUGUAGUUGGACAAAAGCUCAUCACAUGUAUAUAUUAGAUCCAUGUGUAUGUAGUCACCAUAGUGACCUUAGUAUGUUGUAACCUUCUGAAUGUAGCUGGGAACUGGAUUAUCUACCUGGAGUUACAGAUUAGCUGUCCAGAUUUGUAUGUAUUGUGGAUUAUUUAUAUAUAGCAGUGUUCGGGUGAUUUGAA
This is an RNA transcript of Carya illinoinensis, 1328 nucleotides long. RefSeq lists it as uncharacterized. The transcript has 3 exons. The record is from RefSeq and is a predicted model, not a curated record. Lineage: Eukaryota; Viridiplantae; Streptophyta; Magnoliopsida; Fagales; Juglandaceae.